AUUAUUACUCCCUCAAUUCUCGAGUAUUAUACUCCUGUAUAUCAUUAUUACUCCUUACAUUUCUUUGCAUUAUACUAUUUUUACUCCCUGAAUUCCUGAGUAUUAUACUUAUAUCAUUAUUACUCCCUGCAUUUCUGAGCAUAAUACUCACUAUCAUUGCCUGUGUCUCUGAGUAUUACUCUCCAGCCCAGCACUAUUAUUCCAUGUGUCUGAGUAUUACUCUCAAGCCCAGCAUUACUCCCUGUGUCUGAGUAUUACUCUCCUGCCCAGUAUUAUUACUCCCUGUGUCUGAGUAUUACUCUCCUGCCCAGUAUUAUUACUCCC
Molecule: non-coding RNA, 324 nt
Organism: Pelobates cultripes (western spadefoot toad)
Lineage: Eukaryota; Metazoa; Chordata; Amphibia; Anura; Pelobatidae
Source: the annotation of a GenBank genome assembly